UGCACUCGAGUCCGAGCAACUGGCCUUUACUUCAGCCACAGGCACUAGCUUGGGGGCAUGACAUAAAGGACCCCUAAUUUCAACAAGUGCCUUAGUCAUCCGCCGGUGCUGAGUGGAAGGGCCGUCACUCAACAGAUAAAAGUAGACUGUUCUAGAAAAAUGAUCAGCUUUAUUCCAACUACCUUACCUGAAAGGGUGAAGUUCGGGUUGUGCGAGCCCCCAAUUCUCGAGUUUCAUCCUUGGCAAACAACAUAAUCCCAAAGGUGGGAUAACUAAUGCGAAGGGGAGUUGCGAACCAGAAUUUUCUCACUACAUUGCAUAUCUUGCAUCUGACCCACAACGGUAAGUGUGAGAAAGCACGGGAGAAGAAUAUAACUGAGAUUAAACAUAAUACAAUGAGCCCUAUAUAUAAUACUAAUAACCUAGAGUUCUACUAU
RNAcentral lists this long non-coding RNA (437 nucleotides) under Nicotiana benthamiana. RNAcentral describes it as "long non-coding RNA (NBEN_LNC019989)". Lineage: Eukaryota; Viridiplantae; Streptophyta; Magnoliopsida; Solanales; Solanaceae. The record is from RNAcentral.